This 450-nucleotide ribosomal RNA is filed under the name uncultured Glomeromycotina. Its description in RNAcentral is "SSU rRNA". It matches the Rfam family "Eukaryotic small subunit ribosomal RNA", at positions 569 to 1023 of the family's 1831-position model. The record is from RNAcentral. Lineage: Eukaryota; Fungi; Glomeromycota.
AACAGCCGCGGUAAUUCCAGCUCCAAUAGCGUAUAUUAAAGUUGUUGCAGUUAAAAAGCUCGUAGUUGAAUUUCGGGGUUAGCAGGUCGGUCGUGCCAUUGGUAUGAACUGGUCUCGCUGAUCCCUCCCUCUUGACGAACUGUGAUGCCAUUAAUUUGGUGUCGCAGGGAAUCAGGACUGUUACUUUGAAAAAAUUAGAGUGUUUAAAGCAGGCUCACGCUUGAAUACAUUAGCAUGGAAUAAUGAAAUAGGACGUUUGAUCCUAUUUUGUUGGCUUCUAGGAUUGACGUAAUGAUUAAUAGGGAUAGUUGGGGGCAUUAGUAUUCAAUUGUCAGAGGUGAAAUUCUUGGAUUUAUUGAAGACUAACUACUGCGAAAGCAUUUGCCAAGGAUGUUUUCAUUAAUCAAGAACGAAAGUUAGGGGAUCGAAGACGAUCAGAUACCGUCGUAG